GAUGAAGAACGUAGCGAAAUGCGAUACGUAAUGUGAAUUGCAGAAUUCAGUGAAUCAUCGAAUCUUUGAACGCAUAUUGCGCUCUCUGGUAUUCCGGAGAGCAUGCUUGUUUGAGUAUCAGUAAACACCUCAACUUCCAUAUCUUUUUUGAAAUGGGAGUUGGACUUGAGUGAUCCCAACGCUUUUCCUCACCGAAAAGUGGCGGGUUACUUGAAAUGCAGGUGCAGCUGGACUUUUCUCUGAGCUAUAAGCAUAUCUAUUUAGUCUGCCUAAAAAACAGAUUAUUACCUUUGCUGCAGCUAACAUAAAGGAGAUUAGUUCUUGUGCUGACUGAUGCAGGAUUCACAAAGACAGGCUUCGGCCGACUUUGUAAACUCGAUCUCAAAUCAAGUAAGACUACCCGCUGAACUUAAGCAUAUCAAUAAGAGGAGGA
RNAcentral lists this unclassified non-coding RNA (433 nucleotides) under soil metagenome. Its description in RNAcentral is "partial contains 5.8S ribosomal RNA, internal transcribed spacer 2, and large subunit ribosomal RNA". The stretch from base 1 to 120 matches the Rfam family "5.8S ribosomal RNA", at positions 35 to 154 of the family's 154-position model. The record is from RNAcentral.